Long non-coding RNA from Oreochromis niloticus (Nile tilapia), 3119 nucleotides. RefSeq lists it as uncharacterized. The record is from RefSeq and is a predicted model, not a curated record. The transcript is spliced from 3 exons. Lineage: Eukaryota; Metazoa; Chordata; Actinopteri; Cichliformes; Cichlidae.
CUCUCCAGCUUACGAGUUAUCUGCUUUAGGCUACGUGUUUGAGAAUUAUACCACUACAUUUUAAUUUUCAUAUUAUAUUUUUAGACUCAACCUCAUACAAAGUGACACACUUACUGUAAAAUUCAUUAGUAUUAUUUGUUUUCACACCAAAAUUCUCCUUAAAACAGAGCUAACAGGGAACCUCUUUAACAUAUUCCAUCCCUGCUAAACCUGACUUUACCCUCCUCUCAUGUUAGUGCGUGUCCUCCUCGCUCCUCUGUCCAUGCAGAGGUGCAUUGAGCACCCUGGACAAGGGGGAUAAAAGCAGCAUUAACGGGGCACUAGGCCCCUGUGUGUGGUCUCAUUUACAAUGACUUGUGCAUACAUACUUCUCUGUCAUAAAAAAAGAAAAAUGAGUAGCCUAUUUUAAGUAUAUUAAAGUCGAUUAACAUAACAUGUAAUUGUCUGGCAAAUUAAAGCAAGUGAAGUCAGUUAGAUUAUCACCUUAAAGACUUGUCAUUAACAUUACAGCUACACAGAGUCCCUUUUAUCACAUUUUUCUUAUUUGAUAAAAAGACAAUGGUAAAUUGAAGGCUAAAGUUAAACAAAACAAGGAAUGACAAAAUUUGUCUGCAAGUGCACAUUAAGUUUAGUUUAAACAAAUACUUAUUGCAUAUAAUUAAACAUGCAUAUUUCAUGUUACUAUUUUGAAAAUAGGAUCUGUCGUUGAGCAGCACAUGGUGGAACACGUCAAACAAACCUCCGUCAGACACAAGUCACUUUUCAGCCGUUCUAAAGUCUCACUUCAACACUGGAUGCAAUUUAUCUACAGAUUUUCUCAGGGUCUGCGAUUACGUCAAAUCGACAUGAUAGAUGACACCAUUGCAGGCAGUACAACAACACUUAGUAAAAUGUCCAAAAAAAAUAAGGAGGGUAUGUGUGGCUGCAGUUCAAAGAUUGAGACGUCGUACAGGUCAGCAGAUUAGUGGCCGAAGGGAGUUUGUUGUGAUCGAUGAGAGUCACUUUCGUCACAAACGAAAGUCUGGGAGAGGAAGAAUGGCUGGGGGAUGGAAAAGAAGAAAGUGGGUAUUUGGAAUGCUGGGCAUAAAAGAUCGAGGGAAAACGAGGCCUAUCUUGCGACUUGUGGAGAAAAGAUCUCGAAGACAUCUUGUUCCUGUGAUUACCCUUCAUGUCCGGAUUGGUUCCUCAGUGAUAAGUGAUGAAUAUCGUGUACUCCCAAAUUUAGGGUAUGAACACCAUACUGUUAACCACAGCAGGUGGUAUGUUAACCCUCGUACAGGUGCCCAUACCCAACAUCUUGAGAGAGCCUGGAGGUCUUACAAGGAGCAAAUAUGGCGACUCAAGGGUAACAGAAAUGAUAGACUACUGUCAGAACACCUUACAGUUAUUGAGUGGAAUGAGUGGCUUGCAAAAAAGCACAAAAAUGGUACAUUGGGGAGACUGAUAUAUGACAUUUCCAAAAAAUACAAAUAAUUCUAAAAGUUAAUGUUGCUACUGCUAUUUUUUUUUUUUCUUUUUGAAAAUGUUAUUUGAAAACUUUAUGUAAAGAGCUACAGGUCAUAUAGUUUGCAUCCAGCCGUGUUCUGUAUUACCUCAAAUAUUGGCUUAUUGUUUAUGACACUGUUUUUAUUUUUGUAUCAACAUUUGUGUGUCCAAUCUGUAAGCAUUGUUCUGAUGUUUUUGUGAUUGGCAUCUUAAAAAUACAGUGCGUUCUGUAUCUACUCUGUGUGUGGUCAUUUAUUUUUGUUACAAUGUAUUUUAAAAAAUUUACACAUCUAUAAAUAGGUUGUAAGGUAUAUAUGGUCCCCACUUUAGAUGGGCUCACUCAAGAUACUUUACUAACAAGUAGCAAAUGGUUUGUAACUUCCUAAAUAAGUUUAUUGAGGUAUUUAUGAGUAUUUAUAGAUAAUCUAUCGAAAAAGAAGUUGGUCGAUAGUGAGUUACAGCUUUGGCAGCCUUUAAGUGACAGUUAUAAAUGUAUUGUAAGACAUCUGUUAAGAUAUAGCAGCUGGCUGAUGUAACCCUGAUAUUCAGUGUUUAUAAAACAUCUAGUAUGAAACUACUUUGUGUAGUACAUGUAGAGUUUAUAGUAUUAUAUAGGGUAUGUUAACCAUCUACUUACCUUUCACCAAUGAUUUUGUAUACCACUGAACAUCCUGAAAUGACUGGUUUGUAACUGAUGCAGAGUAGUGUUUAUAAAUGAUUAAUCAAUGAGUUUUAGAACAUGAAAACAUAAUUAAUAAAAAGUGUUGUACAUUAGCUUGUUCAUCAUGAAUAAAGUGUUUAAAGCAGUGCUUGUAAACUAUUAACUGAUUAUGAGAAAUACUUUGUAGAUGCUGUAGAGAUAAUUAAGUAGCCAUUAACUAAUGCUUAACAGAUGAUUAAGUAAUGCUUAAUAGUGUGCACUUAUUAUAAAGUGUUACCGAUGUGGUAAAUAUCAGUCUUGUUGUUUCAAUUAGAUUUAUUUAUUAAAGAUAAAUUACAUUGUUAGCACAUCCAAAGAAAUGCAACAUGUUUUCUGUAAUUAGCAGCAGUUAACAGCAUCCACCCUCGUCUAACACUUCUUUCAAACCAUUUCUUUUUUUGUAAGUUAAAUUUUCUUCAUUCAAUGUGUACAUCAACACAAACUGCAGAAUUAAUUAAGGGUCAUUUUGUGCUGAGGAUGUGUAGCAUUGUCAUAAAUUUGUAUAGACAAUACAUGUUGGUAAAGCAAAUCACCUGGCUGAUUCCAUUAUUGCUUUCUAUUCUUUGGAGGUUUGAAUCAGAAUUAAAGAACAUAAACAUUUAACAAUUUUUGAGCAACAAAAACUAGAAAAUGUUUAGUUCGUCAAAGUUGCCACAUGUAGGAUUUCACUCACUCUAUUUGGAAAGCACUAUUGGACCAACCAGUUAAAAUCUCUCUUUGGUUCAGUUUCCCAUUAAAUCUGUUUUAACCUGUACUGUAUUGUAACACACACUAAUUUUAUUUUUCCUGCCUCAAUGCUAUACCUUUAUGAAUACUAUAAAAAUCCCAGUGUAGCAACUUAUAGAUAUAGACAUUCUAUCCAGUACUGGGAAAUUAAAUACAUUAAUGUUUUUGACAGUCAACAUUUAAGCAUGCCAUUAAAAAAAACCAAACA